ACGAACGCUUGCGGCAUGCCUAACCCCUGCCAGUCGAACGCGACCUUCGGGUCUAGUGGCGCACGGGUGCGUAACGCGUGGGAACCUGCCCUUAGGUUCGGAAUAACUCCCCGAAAGGGGUGCUAAUACCGGAUAAUGUCUUCGGACCAAAGAUUUAUCGCCUUUGGAUGGGCCCGCGUUGGAUUAGCUAGUUGGUAGGGUAAAAGCCUACCAAGGCGACGAUCCAUAGCUGGUCUGAGAGGAUGAUCAGCCACACUGGGACUGAGACACGGCCCAGACUCCUACGGGAGGCAGCAGUGGGGAAUAUUGGACAAUGGGCGAAAGCCUGAUCCAGCAAUGCCGCGUGAGUGAUGAAGGCCUUAGGGUUGUAAAGCUCUUUUACCCGGGAUGAUAAUGACAGUACCGGGAGAAUAAGCUCCGGCUAACUCCGUG
This 432-nucleotide ribosomal RNA is filed under the name uncultured bacterium. RNAcentral describes it as "partial 16S ribosomal RNA". It matches the Rfam family "Bacterial small subunit ribosomal RNA", at positions 29 to 507 of the family's 1533-position model. The record is from RNAcentral.